CCGAGUUUACAACUCCCAAACCCAAUGUGAACGUUACCGAACUGUUGCCUCGGCGGGAUAUUUGCCCCGGGCGCGUCGCAGCCCCGGACCAAGGCGCCCGCCGGAGGACCAACCAAAACUCUUGUUGUAUGCCCCGUCGCGGGGUUUUUUUUUUUACUAUCUGAGCCACCUCGGCGCCCAUCGCGGGCGUUUCGAAAAUGAAUCA
RNAcentral lists this unclassified non-coding RNA (205 nucleotides) under uncultured Trichoderma. RNAcentral describes it as "sequence contains ITS1". Lineage: Eukaryota; Fungi; Ascomycota; Sordariomycetes; Hypocreales; Hypocreaceae. The record is from RNAcentral.